This 770-nucleotide ribosomal RNA is filed under the name uncultured bacterium. RNAcentral's name for it is "bacterial SSU rRNA". It matches the Rfam family "Bacterial small subunit ribosomal RNA", at positions 8 to 776 of the family's 1533-position model. The record is from RNAcentral.
AGAGUUUGAUCAUGGCUCAGGAUGAACGCUAGCGGCAGGCUUAAUACAUGCAAGUCGAACGGUAAGGUCUCUUCGGAGAUACACGAGUGGCGCACGGGUGCGUAACGCGUAUGCAACCUACCUUUAACUGGGAAAUAGCCCCGAGAAAUCGGGAUUAAUGUCCCAUAUUAUUUUCUGAAUGCAUAUUUGGAAAAUGAAAGCUCCGGCGGUUAAAGAUGGGCAUGCGUGACAUUAGCUAGUUGGUGAGGUAACGGCCCACCAAGGCGACGAUGUCUAGGGGUCCUGAGAGGGUUAACCCCCACACUGGUACUGAGACACGGACCAGACUCCUACGGGAGGCAGCAGUAAGGAAUAUUGGGCAAUGGACGCAAGUCUGACCCAGCCAUGCCGCGUGAAGGAUGAAUGUCCUAUGGAUUGUAAACUUCUUUUGUGCAAGAAAAACCCCUCGGUUUCGUACCGGGGCUGAUUGUAUUGCACGAAUAAGCAUCGGCUAACUCCGUGCCAGCAGCCGCGGUAAUACGGAGGAUGCAAGCGUUAUCCGGAUUCAUUGGGUUUAAAGGGUGCGCAGGCGGAAUGAUAAGUCAGUGGUGAAAUCUCCCGGCUCAACCGGGAAACUGCCAUUGAUACUGCCAUUCUUGAGUACAGUUGAAGUGGGCGGAAUGUGUCAUGUAGCGGUGAAAUGCUUAGAUAUGACACAGAACACCGAUAGCGAAGGCAGCUCACUAAGCUGUAACUGACGCUCAUGCACGAAAGCGUGGGGAUCAAACAGG